AUGAGGAUCUGACAGCGGGAAGCAGUGGGAGACAGAAUGGAAGAAGGAAAGAAGAAGGCAGUUCCUCCUGUUUCCUGUGCCCAUUAGCUUUGUUCAAGCAGCAACGAUUGCUGGUUUCAGCCUACUGGUGCUCUUAGCGCUCCUGGUACCUGCCUCUGCUGGGUUCUUCUUCAAUAACCAAAUCACAAACUAGCACAAUUAAGUGGCUGCUGCCCUGUUUUGUUUGGGGAUAACUUUUUGUGCAGCAAUAGUAACCAGAACACCAGACUCUUUUCUUUCUUCCCUUCUUUUUCUUCUUUCUUGCUUUUUUCUCUCUUUUUGGCCACACCAUGCAUGGAGUGUGACAUGUGGUUUCCCAACCAGGGAUCAAACACACAGCGCCUGCAGUGGAAGCAGGCCUCCACAGAAGGUGCUCAAGCAAUAUUUUAUUGAAUAAAAGAAUAAAUGCCGAGAAACUAGAUGGGAGAAUCUGGGGGCAGUACACCAAUGGUAUUCUCCACCUGCUCUCAAAGUCUGCUUUACUUUGGCCCUAGAAUGAAGAAUCAAUUCAGGAAACAGUUCAGAAAUCAAAUUCCACUAUACAAACUUACCGUAUGCUCUUGAGUAAGAGCCCAGAGUUGCUGAGUUUCAACAUUUCUACCGAUUUAAAGAAAGAAGAGGAGAGAGAGGACAUUUUCUCAACUUCUGAGAUUCUGUUGGAAAGGAGAAAAGGCUGGAAGGAGGUGAGGCAGAAGCAAAAAGAGGGGAUAGAAGGACGUCGUGGUACACUCUUGGUAUGGCCAGUGGGAGCCCGGCGUUGUGGUCAUGGCAAGGCAUUUUCCCACUUUUCCCCACACUAGUCUCCCCCAGGAAUAGCAUCAUCACUGUUUCUUAAACACACUGUCCUUCAUCUGAUCACUUGCCACAGUUGCCUUUCCACUCUAACUUUCUGAAUUCCACCUAUUUUCAGGGUCCAGUUGAAUGGUCCCGUUCCAAGCAUUUCCCACCCACUCUCUUAUCGUCUUCUCUACCCCUUCCAUAACGUGGGUUUAGGAAAGAAACUCGUCUGAAUUUUGGCUCAGUAGUCAAGGAUUCACCUGCGAUGCAGAGACGCAGGAGGCACAGGUUCCAUCUCUGGGUCGGGAAGAUCCCCUGGAGAGGAAAUGGCAACCCACCCCAGUAUGCAUGCCUGGAAAAUUCCAUGGACUCGGGAGCCACACAUGCUACAGUCUAUGAGGUCACAGAGUUAGACGCGCUGAAGUGACUGAGCACGCAGUCUGCAUAACUUACUUGGAAACUGAGGAGCAACAGAUGGACGGGACAUGAUGCUUUUCUGUGGGUGCUAUAUAGACGUUCACUAAAGUACAAUGUCUUGCAAGCCCUUUAUGUUUCAACGUUUACAGCUGUGCUGGACCCAGUGCACAUCUGCUCUGUGAACUCCUGCUGGGUGAACAUAUAGAUUAAUGACUAAAUGAAUGCAUGAAAGGGUGCCCUGAGCUAACAGUUGCACAUAAAUGCAAGAAGCAUGAGGAUGCACAGCAAAGUAUCUGAGCAGGAGCUUUUCCCUGGCCCAGCACGCUCCUUCCCACAGAGUUCUC
Molecule: long non-coding RNA, 1577 nt
Organism: Capra hircus (goat)
Lineage: Eukaryota; Metazoa; Chordata; Mammalia; Artiodactyla; Bovidae
Source: Ensembl